Molecule: long non-coding RNA, 197 nt
Organism: Aedes aegypti (yellow fever mosquito)
Lineage: Eukaryota; Metazoa; Arthropoda; Insecta; Diptera; Culicidae
Exons: 2
Source: RefSeq, a predicted model, not a curated record
ACAGAAACUUUCGAACAGUUAGAACAGUAACAUUACGCCAUCUUCAAAAUAACAGUUGAACAGUGUCUCGUAGAUCAGUGUAGUGCAUGUCAUUUUUAAUAGUGAAAAAGUGUCCCAAAUCCGUUCACCCAAACCAAAUGAAUAGUAUUGAAUACAAGAAGCCCCCCCUUAAACAUAACGGCAAUAAGCUUAAAAAC